This 347-nucleotide long non-coding RNA is filed under the name Capra hircus (goat). RNAcentral's name for it is "lncRNA (ENSCHIG00000005445.1)". The record is from RNAcentral. Lineage: Eukaryota; Metazoa; Chordata; Mammalia; Artiodactyla; Bovidae.
AAAUUUAGGUUUUCCCUUUCUGAACGUAAAUACUGAUUCUUAUGAAUCAUCAGAAACUCAAUCAUGCUUUUUGUUGUUGUUGUUUGUUUGUUUACAGCUGAUAAAAAGGUGUUUAAGAAAGAAUUACUGAGGGGUGUGAAGUCUUUCAAAGGAGGCAAGGUUACUGUCAGUGACCUAAGUAAUGUUCUACAAAACACUGGAUUCAAACUUGAAGCAAAGGAAAUCCAGGACUUGCAGACCCACCUACCAAUUACUGAAGAUGAAAAGGUUGACUUGGAUGUGUUGAUGGAUGCUGCAAACACUUUUACAGGUGAGUAAUAAUUUGUAUCAGAUAUUAUAAAACUGAG